ACGUGAGCUGGGUUCAGAACGUCGCGAGACAGUUUGGUCCCUAUCUGCCGUGGGCGUCGAUACUUGAGAGGAGUUGUCCCUAGUACGAGAGGACCGGGACGGACGAACCUCUGGUGUGCCAGUUGUUCCGCCAGGAGCAUGGCUGGUUGGCUACGUUCGGAAGGGAUAACCGCUGAAGGCAUCUAAGCGGGAAGCCUGCUUCGAGAUGAGGUUUCCGUGCCCCCUUUGUGGGGUGGGAGGCUCCCUGUAGACCACAGGGUUGAUAGGCCGGGUGUGGAAGCAACGACUAGCGAGUUGUGGAGCUGACCGGUACUAAUAAGCCGA
RNAcentral lists this ribosomal RNA (324 nucleotides) under Crypthecodinium cohnii. RNAcentral describes it as "partial Bacterial large subunit ribosomal RNA". It matches the Rfam family "Bacterial large subunit ribosomal RNA", at positions 2598 to 2912 of the family's 2925-position model. Lineage: Eukaryota; Dinophyceae; Gonyaulacales; Crypthecodiniaceae. The record is from RNAcentral.